ACGGCGGGUUGCACGGCUGUCGGUAUCUUCCCGUCGAACGGAAGAGGCUGAGGAAGUUCCGCCCACCAUUCGCACAAGCGAAACGAUGAUGCGCAAGCACCCCCGCUUAAGGCGGGAGCGCGGAACAGAAACCAUACCGCUUCGGGAGCAGGAUGACGCACAGGACUUUUCCCGAAGAACGGAUGAAACGCGCCGCGCUUGGUGCAAGUUCAACCGCGUGAAAACGCGGCAAGAACGCUAAGUCGAAUGCCGUGGACAACAGAAGGCGGGCUACGGACUCGCCGU
Molecule: RNase P RNA, 285 nt
Filed under: Candidatus Micrarchaeota archaeon CG10_big_fil_rev_8_21_14_0_10_59_7
Lineage: Archaea; Nanobdellati; Microcaldota
Description: RNase P RNA component
Rfam family: Archaeal RNase P
About the family: Ribonuclease P (RNase P) is a ubiquitous endoribonuclease, found in archaea, bacteria and eukarya as well as chloroplasts and mitochondria. Its best characterised activity is the generation of mature 5'-ends of tRNAs by cleaving the 5'-leader elements of precursor-tRNAs.
Source: RNAcentral